UACGUAGGGGGCUAGCGUUGUCCGGAAUCAUUGGGCGUAAAGCGCGUGUAGGCGGUCCGGUAAGUCUGCUGUGAAAGUCGGGGGCUCAACCCUCGGAUGGCGGUGGAUACUGUCGGGCUUGAGUACGGAAGAGGCGAGUGGAAUUCCUGGUGUAGCGGUGAAAUGCGCAGAUAUCAGGAGGAACACCAAUUGCGAAGGCAGCUCGCUGGGACGUUACUGACGCUGAGACGCGAAAGCGUGGGGAGCAAACAGG
RNAcentral lists this ribosomal RNA (253 nucleotides) under uncultured bacterium. RNAcentral's name for it is "partial 16S ribosomal RNA". It matches the Rfam family "Bacterial small subunit ribosomal RNA", at positions 524 to 776 of the family's 1533-position model. The record is from RNAcentral.